Mus caroli (Ryukyu mouse) is the source of this 807-nucleotide non-coding RNA. Lineage: Eukaryota; Metazoa; Chordata; Mammalia; Rodentia; Muridae. The record is from RefSeq and is a predicted model, not a curated record.
GAAGUUUUCUUCUGUGAUUAUGCUUAAGAUGUUUUCUGGAGGCCUGGUCUUCCGCUGCAUGUGCCUUUGCCGCGAUGCCCAAAUCCAAGCGAGACAAGAAAGUUUCCUUAACAAAAACUGCCAAGAAAGGCUUGGAACUNAAGCAGAACCUGAUAGAAGAGCUUCGGAAAUGUGUGGACACCUACAAGUACCUUUUCAUCUUCUCUGUGGCCAACAUGAAGAACAGCAAACUGGAGGACAUCCGGAAUGCCUGGAAGCACAGCCAGAUGUUCUUUGGCAAAAACAAGAUGAUGAUAGUGGCCUUGGGUCAAAGCCCAUCUGACAAAUACAAAGACAACCUACAUCAGGUCAGCAAGAAGUUGAGAGGUGAAGUUGGGCUGCUUUUUACCAACCACACGAAGGAGGAGGUGAAUGAGGGGUUCACAAAGUAUACAGAAAUGGAUUUUGCUCGAGCGGGGAACAAAGCAACUCUAACUGUAAGCCUGGAUCCAGGUCCCCUGAAGCAGUUCCCUCACUCCAUGGAGCCACAGCUGAGGCAGCUGGGGCUGCCCACUGCCCUCAAAAAAGCUGUGGUGACCAUGCUGUCUGACUAUGAAGUAUGCAAAGAGGGUGACAUGCUGACCCCAGAGCAGGCCCAUAUCCUGAAGCUGUUUGGGUAUGAGAUGGCUGAAUUCAAAGUUUUCAUCAAAUACAUGUGGGACGCCGAGUCAGGAGGAUUCCAGCAGAUGGACGAUGACCUGUCUGAGAGCGCACCUGAGUCUGAGGGAGAGUCUGAGGAGGAGGAUGACAGCUGACUCUAAGACCCAG